RNAcentral lists this small RNA (1044 nucleotides) under Pan troglodytes (chimpanzee). RNAcentral describes it as "retained intron". Lineage: Eukaryota; Metazoa; Chordata; Mammalia; Primates; Hominidae. The record is from RNAcentral.
GCGCCCCUUACCAGCUUCCAGUCUCUCGAGGUGGCCUGUGUGGUGCUUGGUCCUUGUUUCCAGGAUGGACUUCCCCGGCUCCCUCCGCCCUGCGUUGUUUCUGACCGGCCCCCUUGGUCUGAGCGACGUCCCUGACCUCUCUUUCAUGUGCAGCUGGCAAGACGCGCUGACUCUGCCAGAGGCCCAGCCCCAGAACUCAGAGAAUGGGGCACUGCAUGUGACCAAGGACCUGCUGUGGGAGCCAGCAACCCCUGGGCCUCUCCCCAUGCUGCCUCCCCUCAUCGAUCCCUGGGACCCUGGCCUGACUGCCCGGGACCUGCUUUUCCGCGGAGGGUACCGGUAUCGGAAGCGGCCCCGAGUCGUGCUGGAUGUUACUGAGCAGCCGGUUCCUCUUGGAUCAUGGAGACGUAGCCUUUGCGCCCCUGGGGAAGCUGAUGCUGGAGAAUUUCAAGCUGGAGGGAGUGGGGGUGAGUGGCCCGUGACUCCAGGGGUGGGGACUCCCUGCUGUCCUUCAGGGGUGAACUCGAGGGUGUGUGAGCCUGACAAGGCCUUUCCAUGCAGAGCCGCACUAAGAAGAAGACAGUGGUCAGUGUGAAGAAGCUGCUCCAGGACCUCGGUGGACACCAGCCCUGGGGGUGUCCCUGGGCUUACCUCAGCAACCGACAGCGCCGCUUCUCUAUCCUCGGGGGCCCCAUCCUGGGCACGUCGGUGGCGAGCCACUUGGCAGAGCUGCUGCACGAGGAGCUGGUGCUGCGGUGGGAGCAGCUGCUUCUGGAUGAGGCCUGCACUGGGGGCGCGCUGGCCUGGGUUCCUGGAAGGACACCCCAGUUCGGGCAGCUGGUCUACCCUGCUGGAGGCGCCCAGGACAGGCUGCGUAUCCUUUCUUGCGAGACAGGAGAUUCCAGCGGGCUCGCCUCUGGUAGAGGAGGUGCUCUUGGCAUGGUCCAGAGAAGGGCAGGAAUUUGGGGGGCUUGCAGUGACCAUAGCUCGUGCACUGAUCCUUAGUGAGAGGCCCAGAUUUCCAAGAGGUCGUUCUGACCCCAG